ACAGAGGUCCCGAGCGUUGUUCGGAUUCACUGGGCGUAAAGGGUGCGUAGGUGGCCAUGAAAGUUUGAUGUGAAAUCUCCGGGCUUAACCCGGAAAAGGCAUUGAAUACUCUGUGGCUGGAGGUUUGGAGGGGGGACUGGAAUUCUCGGUGUAGCAGUGAAAUGCGUAGAUAUCGAGAGGAACACCAGUGGCGAAGGCGGGUCCCUGGACAACACCUGACACUGAGGCACGAAAGCUAGGGGAGCAAACAGGA
This 253-nucleotide ribosomal RNA is filed under the name uncultured prokaryote. RNAcentral describes it as "partial 16S ribosomal RNA". It matches the Rfam family "Bacterial small subunit ribosomal RNA", at positions 525 to 777 of the family's 1533-position model. The record is from RNAcentral.